AACCCUCUCUCAAGGUUGGCAAGGACUUGUUGAAUGCCCGGGCGUAUGCUUGAACAACCUGCAUCUGCAGGCAAUUGGCUGUUCUUUCUUUCACAAAAGAGCAUGGAAAUGUACUUUUCUGAGUUUGCUAUUUAUCAAUUUGUUGACAAACUUGUGUCUUAGAUAGAUCUUUUGAUCACUGUGUGAUGUCUUUCCAAAACUGUUAUCGGCUAAUUUGUCAGUGACCAGAUCGAAAAUCUUCCAAAAACUCUUGAUGUGACAGCUGCUCUCUGUGAUUGUGUAUGCAUGACUCAUGUUUCUAGAUUCUGCUGGGGUUUAUAUCAGCAAGGUGUUGAAUUGCCGUUCUGUAUAGUUCUGGAUUGGAGAUGAACUGUUUCUGUCUAUGAUAAGACAGUCAGAGCAUGAUGUUCUUGCCUAAACAUAUAGUUGAAAUAUUCACAGUUGAUAUAGAAAGGCAAUUCUCCAUAGAGGAAACAGGGAAAUUGGUCCUAGUUUUUGCUUGCACAAUGCUGCGCUAAUGCGAGGGGAUAUAGAUAGAUCCUAGAAAGACAAC
This 553-nucleotide small RNA is filed under the name Histoplasma ohiense. RNAcentral describes it as "hypothetical lncRNA". Lineage: Eukaryota; Fungi; Ascomycota; Eurotiomycetes; Onygenales; Ajellomycetaceae. The record is from RNAcentral.